This 1508-nucleotide ribosomal RNA is filed under the name uncultured bacterium. RNAcentral describes it as "bacterial SSU rRNA". It matches the Rfam family "Bacterial small subunit ribosomal RNA". The record is from RNAcentral.
UAGAGUUUGAUCCUGGCUCAGUGAUCAACGCUGGCGCGCGUGCCUAAUGCAUGCAAGUCGAACGGGGGGCUUUCGGGCCCUCAGGGUGGCGGACGGGUGAGUGAACACUGUGGGCAAGCUGGCCCAAGGUGGGGGGUAGCCCUCGGAAACAGGGGGUAAUUCCGCAUGUGCGUACCGGGCAGUGGACCGGGUACGGAAAGGCUCUUCGGAGUCGCCUUGGGGGGCGCCUGCGGCCGAUUAGCUGGUUGGUGGGGUAACGGCCUACCAAGGCGGUGAUCGGGNGGUGGUCUGAGAGGACGGCCAGCCACACGGGGACUGAGACACGGCCCCGACUCCUACGGGAGGCAGCAGCAAGGAAUUUUCCGCAAUGGGGGAAACCCUGACGGAGCAACGCCGCGUGCGGGAUGACGCGUUUCGGCGUGUAAACCGCUUUUCUUGGGGAAGAUGGAGGACGGUACCCGAGGAAGAAGGCCCGGCCUAACUACGUGCCAGCAGCCGCGGUAAUACGUAGGGGCCGAGCGUUGUCCGGAGUUAUUGGGCCGUAAAGCGCGCGCAGGCGGCUUCGUGCGCCCGCUGUGAAAGCCCCCGGCUUUAACCGGGGAGGGUCAGUGGGGACGGCGGACUUGAGGGCGGGAGAAGGGUGUUGAAUUCCGGUUUAUUGUGAANUGCUUAGAGAUCGGGAAGAANACCUUGUGGGCGAAGGCCGGCCCACCUGGGCCGACCCUGACGUUGAAGGCGCGAAGGGCGUGGGGAGCCGAACGGGAUUAGAUACCCCGGUAGUCCACGCAGUAAACGAUGCAGACUAGGCGUGGGUGGACUUUGACCCCAUCCGUGCCGGAGCUAACGCGGGAAGUCUGCCGCCUGGGGAGUACGGCCGCAAGGCUAAAACUCAAAGGAAUUGACGGGGGCCCGCACAAGCGGCGGAGCGUGCGGUUUAAUUCGACGUAACGCGCAAAACCUUACCAGGGCUUGACAUGCUCCUGCGAGACCGGGAAACCGGGAAGCCUUCGAGGGAGGAGCACAGGUGCUGCAUGGCUGUCGUCAGCUCGUGUCGUGAGAUGUUGGGUUAAGUCCCGCAACGAGCGCAACCCUCGUGGGUAGUUGUCGAUGUUUCUACCCAGACUGCCGCGAGCAACGCGGAGGAAGGUGGGGAUGACGUCAAGUCAGCAUGGCCCUUACGUCCUGGGCAACACGCACGCUACAAUGGGGGGGACAACGGGUAGCCAAGCGGCAACGCGGAGCGAAUCCCAGCAAACCCCUUCUCAGUUGGAAUUGUGGGCUGCAACUCGCCCGCAUGAACGCGGAGUCGCUAGUAACCGCCGGUCAGCACUACGGCGGUGAAUACGUUCCCGGGCCUUGUACACACCGCCCGUCACGUCACGAAAGCCGGCAACACCUGAAGCCGGUGGGCCAACCCGCAAGGGGGGCAGCCGUCGAGGGUGGGGUGGGUGAUUGGGACGAAGUCGUAACAAGGUAGCCGUAGCGGAAGCUGCGGCUGGAUCACCUCC